This is a long non-coding RNA of Dermacentor silvarum, 290 nucleotides long. RefSeq lists it as uncharacterized. NCBI's taxonomy places the organism in Eukaryota, Metazoa, Arthropoda, Arachnida, Ixodida, Ixodidae. The transcript is spliced from 2 exons. The record is from RefSeq and is a predicted model, not a curated record.
UACAGAACUUCACUUCAGGCUAAAUUAUACUACGCCAGGAACGUACAACUGCAGUGUUUUCGUCACGACUGAUGAAGAUAUAACGCAGACGUGGUGGUGUGAUAUGUACGUACGACGAGGACUUCCAGAAUGUACUUUUCCACCUGUGGAGUGCGAAAAUGCCUUCCGUAAUGCUUGCCCGAACGGAAUAUAUACAACGAAAUACAGUUGGAACUGCACUGCAGCCUAAGCGAAUAUUACAAGUGAUCUCUGAAUUUGCGAGAUAAAUUACUUUCAUCAUUGUUUCUUCA